RNAcentral lists this long non-coding RNA (413 nucleotides) under Oryzias javanicus (javanese ricefish). RNAcentral describes it as "lncRNA (ENSOJAG00000023662.1)". The record is from RNAcentral. Lineage: Eukaryota; Metazoa; Chordata; Actinopteri; Beloniformes; Adrianichthyidae.
AUGUCAGACAUGCUGCGACAGGCUGAGCCCCCAAGAUGUUGAAGCAGGAGGAAACGCAGGAAUCAAGGGGGGGGGGGGUCUGUCUUAUCACCGCAGGUACAAAAGGAGAUUAGCCAGUUCACCUGAGGAGAGGCCUCUGCCGCUGUAUGGGGGUAAUGAUGGGCUCAACAAAGGCGGCUGGAUCGGAGUUCUGUGUUGAUGGAGUUUUUGAUUCCUCAGAUCAAUCGGUCACACGGAAGCCCUUCGUACUCCACUGGUUGCUGUGUCACCAAGAGACUCAGAGUGCUUCCGUCUGCCAGACACGUCUGCCUCACCAUGACGGGGGGAAUGUAAAGGUCGAUGGGAGAGGAUCUGAGCAAUGCUGUAAACCACAGCCUGACCUCGGGGCUCAGCAAACACUGGGGGUAAAUUAA